CCUACGGGUGGCAGCAGUGGGGAAUAUUGCACAAUGGGGGAAACCCUGAUGCAGCGACGCCGCGUGAGUGAAGAAGUCUUUCGGUAUGUAAAGCUCUAUCAGCAGGGAAGAAAAUGACGGUACCUGACUACGAAGCCCCGGCUAACUACGUGCCAGCAGCCGCGGUCAUACGUAGGGGGCAAGCGUUAUCCGGAUUUACUGGGUGUAACGGGAGCGUAGACGGCGGAACAAGUCAGAAGUGAAAACCCGGGGCUCAACCCUGGGAGUGCUUUUGAAACUGUUUGGCUGGAGUGCAGGAGAGGUAAGCGGAAUUCCUAGUGUAGCGGUGAAAUGCGUAGAUAUUAGGAGGAACACCAGUGGCGAAGGCGGCUUACUGGACUGUAACUGACGUUGAGGCUCGAAAGCGUGGGGAGCAAACAGGAUUAGAUACCCCUGUAGUC
RNAcentral lists this ribosomal RNA (440 nucleotides) under uncultured bacterium. RNAcentral's name for it is "partial 16S ribosomal RNA". It matches the Rfam family "Bacterial small subunit ribosomal RNA", at positions 338 to 795 of the family's 1533-position model. The record is from RNAcentral.